UUGUAGCCUUUCUAUGGUAUAAAUUUAGUGGCAGACGGGUGAGUAAUGUAUAGGAAUCUACCUAGUAGUACGGAAUAAUUGUUGGAAACGACAACUAAUACCGUAUACGCCCUACGGGGGAAAAAUUUAUUGCUAUUAGAUGAGCCUAUAUUAGAUUAGCUAGUUGGUGGGGUAAUAGCCUACCAAGGUAAUGAUCUAUAGCUGAUCUGAGAGGAUGAUCAGCCACACUGGAACUGAGAUACGGUCCAGACUCCUACGGGAGGCAGCAGUGGGGAAUAUUGGACAAUGGGCGAAAGCCUGAUCCAGCCAUGCCGCAUGAGUGAAGAAGGCCUUUGGGUUGUAAAGCUCUUUUAGUGAGGAAGAUAAUGACGGUACUCACAGAAGAAGUCCUGGCUAACUCCGUGCCAGCAGCCGCGGUAAUACGGAGAGGGCUAGCGUUAUUCGGAAUUAUUGGGCGUAAAGGGCGCGUAGGCUGGUUAAUAAGUUAAAAGUGAAAUCCCGAGGCUUAACCUUGGAAUUGCUUUUAAAACUAUUAAUCUAGAGAUUGAAAGAGGAUAGGGGAAUUCCUGAUGUAGAGGUAAAAUUCGUAAAUAUUAGGAGGAACACCAGUGGCGAAGGCGUCUAUCUGGUUCAAAUCUGACGCUGAAGCGCGAAGGCGUGGGGAGCAAACAGGAUUAGAUACCCUGGUAGUCCACGCUGUAAACGAUGAAUGUUAAAUAUGGGGAGUUUACUUUCUGUAUUACAGCUAACGCGUUAAACAUUCCGCCUGGGGACUACGGUCGCAAGAUUAAAACUCAAAGGAAUUGACGGGGACCCGCACAAGCGGUGGAGCAUGUGGUUAAUUCGAU
Molecule: ribosomal RNA, 848 nt
Filed under: Wolbachia pipientis
Lineage: Bacteria; Pseudomonadati; Pseudomonadota; Alphaproteobacteria; Rickettsiales; Anaplasmataceae
Description: bacterial SSU rRNA
Rfam family: Bacterial small subunit ribosomal RNA
Source: RNAcentral